Molecule: ribosomal RNA, 497 nt
Filed under: uncultured bacterium
Lineage: Bacteria
Description: partial 16S ribosomal RNA
Rfam family: Bacterial small subunit ribosomal RNA
Source: RNAcentral
GAUGAACGCUGGCGGCGUGCCUAAUACAUGCAAGUCGAGCGAACGGACGAGAAGCUUGCUUCUCUGAUGUUAGCGGCGGACGGGUGAGUAACACGUGGAUAACCUACCUAUAAGACUGGGAUAACUUCGGGAAACCGUAGCUAAUACCGGAUAAUAUUUUGAACCGCAUGGGUCAAAAGUGAAAGACGGUCUUGCUGUCACUUAUAGAUGGAUCCGCGCUGCAUCAGCUAGUUGGUAAGGUAACGGCUUACCAAGGCAACGAUGCAUAGCCGACCUGAGAGGGUGAUCGGCCACCCUGGAACUGAGACACGGUCCAGACUCCUACGGGAGGCAGCAGUAGGGAAUCUUCCGCAAAGGGCGAAAGCCUGACGGAGCAACGCCGCGUGAGUGAUGAAGGUCUUCGGAUCGUAAAACUCUGUUAUUAGGGAAGAACAUAUGUGUAAGUAACUGUGCACAUCUUGACGGUACCUAAUCAGAAAGCCACGGCUAACUACGUG